This 510-nucleotide ribosomal RNA is filed under the name uncultured bacterium. RNAcentral's name for it is "partial 16S ribosomal RNA". It matches the Rfam family "Bacterial small subunit ribosomal RNA", at positions 28 to 507 of the family's 1533-position model. The record is from RNAcentral.
GACGAACGCUGGCGGCGUGCUUAACACAUGCAAGUCGAACGAAGAGCGAUGGAAGCUUGCUUCUAUCAAUCUUAGUGGCGCACGGGUGAGUAACGCGUAAUCAACCUGCCCUUCAGAGGGGGACAACAGUUGGAAACGACUGCUAAUACCGCAUACGAUCUAAUCUCGGCAUCGAGGAUAGAUGAAAGGUGGCCUCUACAUGUAAGCUAUCACUGAAGGAGGGGAUUGCGUCUGAUUAGCUAGUUGGAGGGGUAACGGCCCACCAAGGCGAUGAUCAGUAGCCGGUCUGAGAGGAUGAAUGGCCACAUUGGGACUGAGACACGGCCCAGACUCCUACGGGAGGCAGCAGUGGGGAAUCUUCCGCAAUGGACGAAAGUCUGACGGAGCAACGCCGCGUGAGUGAUGACGGCCUUCGGGUUGUAAAGCUCUGUUAAUCGGGACGAAAGGCCUUCUUGCGAACAGUUAGAAGGAUUGACGGUACCGGAAUAGAAAGCCACGGCUAACUACGUG